UGCGCAGGCGGAACUUUAAGUCAGUGGUGAAAUCUUGCCGCUUAACGGUAAAAUUGCCAUUGAUACUGAAGUUCUUGAAUAUGGUUGAGGUAGGCGGAAUGUGUUGUGUAGCGGUGAAAUGCAUAGAUAUGACACAGAACGCCGAUUGCGAAGGCAGCUUACUAAGCCAUUAUUGACGCUGAGGCACGAAAGCGUGGGGAGCGAACAGGAUGAGAUACCCUGGUAGUC
This 228-nucleotide ribosomal RNA is filed under the name uncultured bacterium. RNAcentral describes it as "partial 16S ribosomal RNA". It matches the Rfam family "Bacterial small subunit ribosomal RNA", at positions 568 to 795 of the family's 1533-position model. The record is from RNAcentral.